GAUGAACGCUGGCGGCGUGCUUAACACAUGCAAGUCGAACGGAAAGGCCCUGCUUUUGUGGGGUGCUCGAGUGGCGAACGGGUGAGUAACACGUGAGUAACCUGCCCUUGACUUUGGGAUAACUUCAGGAAACUGGGGCUAAUACCGGAUAGGAGCUCCUGCUGCAUGGUGGGGGUUGGAAAGUUUCGGCGGUUGGGGAUGGGCUCGCGGCUUAUCAGCUUGUUGGUGGGGUAGUGGCUUACCAAGGCUUUGAAGGGUAGCCGGCCUGAGAGGGUGACCGGCCACAUUGGGACUGAGAUACGGCCCAGACUCCUACGGGAGGCAGCAGUGGGGAAUAUUGCACAAUGGGCGGAAGCCUGAUGCAGCAACGCCGCGUGCGGGAUGACGGCCUUCGGGUUGUAGACCGCUUUCGCCUGUGACGAAGCGUGAGUGACGGUAAUGGGUAAAGAAGCACCGGCUAACUACGUG
RNAcentral lists this ribosomal RNA (468 nucleotides) under uncultured bacterium. RNAcentral describes it as "partial 16S ribosomal RNA". It matches the Rfam family "Bacterial small subunit ribosomal RNA", at positions 28 to 507 of the family's 1533-position model. The record is from RNAcentral.